GAUGAACGCUGGCGGCGUGCUUAACACAUGCAAGUCGAACGGGAAACCUUUUAUUGAAGCUUCGGCAGAUUUAGCUGGUUUCUAGUGGCGGACGGGUGAGUAACGCGUGGGUAACCUGCCUUAUACAGGGGGAUAACAACCAGAAAUGGUUGCUAAUACCGCAUAAGCGCACAGGACCGCAUGGUCCGGUGUGAAAAACUCCGGUGGUAUAAGAUGGACCCGCGUUGGAUUAGCUAGUUGGCAGGGUACGGCCUACCAAGGCGACGAUCCAUAGCCGGCCUGAGAGGGUGAACGGCCACAUUGGGACUGAGACACGGCCCAGACUCCUACGGGAGGCAGCAGUGGGGAAUAUUGCACAAUGGGGGAAACCCUGAUGCAGCGACGCCGCGUGAAGGAAGAAGUAUCUCGGUAUGUAAACUUCUAUCAGCAGGGAAGAUAGUGACGGUACCUGACUAAGAAGCCCCGGCUAACUACGUG
Molecule: ribosomal RNA, 477 nt
Filed under: uncultured bacterium
Lineage: Bacteria
Description: partial 16S ribosomal RNA
Rfam family: Bacterial small subunit ribosomal RNA
Source: RNAcentral